This is a long non-coding RNA of Acinonyx jubatus (cheetah), 4389 nucleotides long. RefSeq lists it as uncharacterized. The record is from RefSeq and is a predicted model, not a curated record. Lineage: Eukaryota; Metazoa; Chordata; Mammalia; Carnivora; Felidae. The transcript has 3 exons.
CACACAGCACAGGCCGGGCUAGCCUGGCCGCCUGCUCUCUGGUGGCCCAGGGACAGCCCGAGUCGUAGACGGGAGAGCCACCACUGUGGUGUCAGCCGAUUGCUGCGGUUAGAGAGACGCCAGGGUUCCCUGUUGGCAGUGGGAGGUGUGUCUAUCCAGACUCAAAGACAUUCUUACAGCCGGGACACCUGGGCACAUCACCCGCAGCCCUGGUCUGACGCCCCCAACCUCCACUCCACAGAGCGGAUCUCCCACCGCCCGGCACUGUUUUUGGCACAGUCCAGGUACGUGGCCACCUUGCCUGCCCUUGGCCUCGGCUGACCCUCACCACCUUGCCAGCCCGGGGCGGGCACGAGGGGGACGGAAUGACAGAAGAGGGCAGGCUUGCGAUUUAGAAUCACCCCCGCCCUGCAUAAACCCACCAGACCCCAUGAUGAAUCGAACGUCACAGAGGACCAGGAGGGUAAAGACACAGAGUCCCUGAGGAGCAUGCUGCUGGGCUGGAGAGACAGGAGUCUAGACGGUGCUGACCCUGGGGUGAAUCAGAGUUGGGGGGGGGGGGGACCCGCAACCGGAAGCAGCUAACUCUGUGAGGGUUUAAGAAUAAAAUGCAAGAAAAACGAGAAGAAACGGCUCAUUAAUCACCUAAAAUAAGUGUAGUCUUAGGUUUCUUUGCGGGGAAGAGGAUGUCUGGCGUGAGUUUUUAAAGCUAAAUGGGAGUUUCUCAGGCUGUUGGGUGGCAGUGGGGACAGGAAAAGGGAGCAGGUGCAAAGACCUGGAGGGCUGAAAGAAUGUGGCCCGUUCUGGAAACAGUGAGUUCCACGUGUUUGUUAGUUACAGCGACAGAAAGGCAGUAGCCACUUCAACAACAUAGAAGCUUCUCUCCCCAUCCUCCCCGCCUCCCUUCUCAUGGGAAAGUCCAGAGGGAGGCAGUCACCGCUAACUUGGUGGCUCAGCUCCAUGAAUUCCUCAGGGACCCAGGCUCUUUCCAGCUCACCACACAUCCCUGGAAUGCAGGUUUUGACCUCUUGGCCCAAGAUGGCAGUUAGAGUCCCGGCCAUCACACCCACAUUCCAGGCGGUGGCAUGGAGGAAGAGGUGAAGAAAAAAGGGGGGGAAUAUACAUGCCAGUGUGCUGAAGGAAGGCUUUCAGAAGCUGACAGGUGACACUGUUUAUAACCCGUUGGCCAGAACGUGGUUUGUAGCCACCCUAGCCACAAGGACAGCCAAGAGAUUUUUCUGGGUGGCUGCAUAUCCAGCUAAAACUCAGGGGUUCAAAUGCCAUGGAAGAAGGGGAAGGAGGUAUCAAGGGACAACCAGAGGUCUCUGUCUCUCUCCUCUGGCAUGGCUGGAUCCAGCUGUGGGGUCGGGGGACUAGAGAGGCGGGGAAGGUGGACCCCUGCCCCACGGGCGAGGGGCUGGCCCCAAGUGUGAAGCAAGAGAACGAACCGCUCAGACCUAUUCUGGGGGGCAGUGACGUCAGCAGUGUGAGGGCUGUGUUAGUGUGGGGACGGGCAGGGGGUAUCCUGUGUGUCUGCUCAGAUGACUGAUGAGGCUCCCUUCUAGUGGCUCUUAGCCUUUCAUAGAGGAAAACAAACCCCAUCUUUCUCAGAACCACCCCUUCCACACUCCUCUUCCCUCCCAGAGAGGAUGGCCUGGAUGCAGAGGGAGCGAGGGAUGAAGGGGCCAGCCUUCUGCUGGCCUGGGGCCCGUGCUGGCACCUGCUGGGGUCUGCCGGCCUCCAGGAUCCGGCCUGGCUUGCACCCCCUCCCACCCUUAGCUGAGGUGGCACCGUGGCCACCACAGAUGUCUCUGUGGCUGACGGCUGGCUUUUAACCCUGGGACUCGUCCUGCAGGACCCACUCGGAGGGGCCUUGGAGAGCUCUGUGUCCAGGCUACCCCUGCCUGACCAUGCUGGCCAUCGUGUCCACUUUGAUGUGGCUCAGUCCAAGGGGUUUCCUCCACAGUCCCAAUGGCAAGAGAACCCCACCCCUGGUUCCCCUCUUCACUUAUCCAGAAGCCCAGGUGGGGACAUGCAAUGUCGUCACUUGCUUUCCCACGAAUCCCAGGUGCAGGAAGUGGGGGCCCCCGCCCCGCCCUCCUUCUUCUUGUCUGGAUUGUUUUUCUCAUCAUAAACACUAUGGUCCAGUGUCGUUCUCCAAGCCUGGACCUUGGUCAGUUACAGCGGAAGGUGCUGGCAUUAAGUUCAUUCCUUUUCAAGAUGGCACAGUUGUGUGGUUGGAUGCUAGACAUCCUCCCCGUCUCCUCUUCCUCUUUGCAUGGCCUUUCCCAGGACGUAGCUCAGAACUGCAGAAGAGCAGAGCGUAUGAAUAACGAAGCAGUUCCCUCCACCUCCCACCAUCGAAGCAGGAGCCGGAAGGCUCUGGAUGGAGCUGAGGUUGGGGGGGUGUCGUGGGGGGGCGGAUUCUGCGACAUCUGUCCCUUCUGCCGCCCCUUGCCCCAGAGCAUCUCCAUGAUCCCGUCUCAUCGUCCAGGGCAGAUUGGGAAGCUAGUUCAUGAGAUUAUCAGUUAGCGAUGGUCACUCCCUUCCCCACCGCCCCCUUCCAUGACAGGAGCAUUAGGUUGGGCUCGGCCGUGACACGCCCCAGCCAUCCCCUCCUUGUCCACAGAGGUUGAGGGACGUGUGGAGCCAGUCCUGGACCCGACUUGGAGCCAAGUCCAGCCGCCCGGCAGAAUGAACAAGGAAUAAAUGCUUGUUGGUUCAAGCUUCUGGGCCUUCAAGCAGCUUGGUACACAGCAUUAUUGUGGCAAUAGCCGACUGUCAUUCUUAGGUGACCUCUGGGGCCCCUUGUAGCUCUUAGUAUCUGUGACGGGACUAAUCCUGGCCUUCUGUGAAAGGUUUGGAUGCUGCGCUGAAUGACCACGAAGGAACUGAGUGACCCAGGAGCUCACUGAGAAGCAGCCCUCCCUGCCUUCUUCCCGGCAGAGCAGAGGUGGGGUCCACGGAUCAGUGCGGCCCCUGUGCCCCCCGCCCCAUGACCAGGGUUUCUCAGAGGAUGAGAAUGAUGUCAGACGCAGGCUGCCUGCCCUGAAUAUCUCCCUGUCCCUCUGGCCUGGGCUGAAUCUCACAUACAUCAAUCUAGAAGGUAUGCAUCUAUGUGCCCAUUUCAGAAGAAACUGAGGGACUUCCUAAGACCACGGAGCUGAUCACGGAAUAGCUCAGCCGGUGCUCCCGAGACUAGAUUUUUCCAUGAUGAAGCACUACCUGCCCUUCUGGGAGCUGAAGGCAGGGAGCAGGGCAGGGACCAGUCGGGGCCCAGAAAGGCCCCUCAGGCACCUUCUCUGUCUGGCCUCCUACUUUCCGGGAAGGGACUCUGGUCAGGGGGGCACAUCUUCAAGGAGGGGCCGUGUGUUUCUCAGUCCUGCCUCCCUCUUGCCUGGACCCCUCUCUCCUUCCUGUUACCCAGACUGGCCCUUGGAGGCAGCGUGAACCCCAAAUUCAAGGCCUCUCUCCUCUUUCCCUCAUCAAAGCCAGCACCCAGACAGCUGUCACUCCUGAAAGCAUGUGAGGCCCUGGUGAGCGAGGAGAGCUGAGCCACCACAGGAGGAGGGAGGGCAUUCUGAGGAGGCCACACGUGGACACGACCCAGUGAGGCUGGGAGGGAGGCAGGAGGGAGGCCACCCAGGACAGGGCCCGAGCUUCCUCUCCAAGCAAACACGAGUGUGGGGCCAGGUGUAUUUAUAACAUAGCCCUGAAGGGGACCAGGCCUCACAUAAAUCAUGCUAUUUCCUUGGCAGGAGUAAAAAUAGCCCCAUGGCAUCCUGCACAUGCUUGUGCACGGAACAGAGCUGGCCGGCCAGGCUCCCCCACCCCCAGGCCCCGCCCUCUGGUCAUGCUUCAUUUGACCAUCCGGACAGAGUUUCCACCUCCUCCUCCCCACCACGCACCAGGCUUGCUGCCUGCCCCUGGUCUCCACAGGAGGGGGUGCGGGGAGGGUCCCCCACCGCAGCUCUGUCCCCCAGGCCGAGACCGCUGACUUUCGGGCUGGCUCGGGUCGGCUGCAGAGGGGCCAGUGCACAUCCUUGGCCGAGUCAGGUUGGGGAAGAGUCAGAGCUCGGUAGUCGGUGAGGAAUGAGGGUCGGGUGCGGUGAGGGGCCUGCUGCACCACCCGGGCCUCCCCGGCAACCAGGAACAGAGAGAGGAAAGGAGGAACUUAAGGCGCCCUGGAAGCAGGGGUGAGGCUGGGGUGGGGACCCUCUGCCAGGGAGCCCCAAAGGGCGUCUGAGGCCUGCGUCGGAGGAAUCUGGAGAGCUCCUCACAAUGGAGGUUCCAGGCCCUGGACUCCCAGGAGUGGGGCCAGAAGUGCAUUUUAAGCAAGGCCCCCAUGGUCUUAGGCCUGCUGUCUCUGUGGUGGCCCAGGCCUCCCCU